RNAcentral lists this unclassified non-coding RNA (264 nucleotides) under plant metagenome. RNAcentral's name for it is "partial contains small subunit ribosomal RNA, internal transcribed spacer 1, and 5.8S ribosomal RNA". The record is from RNAcentral.
UUUCCGUAGGUGAACCUGCGGAAGGAUCAUUAUUGUAUAACAGAGGUACUAGCGCUGUCUCUCACCCGAGAUGUCGUGCACGCCCGAUUACCCUCCCACACUCCCAUCUCCCCCAUAUGUGCACCCCCUCUUGGUUCCCCCUUUGGCUUGUUCGUGGGGUGGGCUUACUUUUUCACACAUCCUUUGCAUGCCGUGUAGAAGGUAUUUUUUCUUUUUGCGCUCACGCAAUCAAUACAACUUUCAACAACGGAUCUCUUGGCUCUC